Molecule: ribosomal RNA, 261 nt
Filed under: uncultured prokaryote
Description: partial 16S ribosomal RNA
Rfam family: Bacterial small subunit ribosomal RNA
Source: RNAcentral
UACGGAGGAUCCGAGCGUUAUCCGGAUUUAUUGGGUUUAAAGGGUGCGCAGGCGGGAGAUUAAGUCGGCGGUGAAAUUUUGCAGCUCAACUGUAAAAGUGCCUUCGAAACUGGUUUCCUUGAGUGUGGAUGAAGUAGGCGGAAUUUGUGGUGUAGCGGUGAAAUGCAUAGAUAUCACGAGGAACUCCGAUUGCGCAGGCAGCUUACUAAGCCAUAACUGACGCUCAUGCACGAAGGCGUGGGGAUCAAACAGGAUUAGAUA